Molecule: long non-coding RNA, 558 nt
Filed under: Brachypodium distachyon (stiff brome)
Lineage: Eukaryota; Viridiplantae; Streptophyta; Magnoliopsida; Poales; Poaceae
Description: long non-coding RNA (BDIS_LNC001201)
Source: RNAcentral
UGUGAGUCAAAACACGCAUAUGUCCUUAAGCCUACAAAAGCAUACCAUAGAAUUGUAUAAAAUUGGAUAUCUUAUUUCUAUUAUGGGAGGAAAAUAAAAAAAUGACAAAUUUUCAUUUAUUCACCACUUGUAGAGGCAGGCAAACAGGAACAAAACCCUUGAAACUAGAAGAAAAUUUGAGAACACAGUUCUGCGCAUGAACAAAACCUUACAAAAGGUUGGACUUUUGCAGGAACAGAAUAGGUUACCUAAACCACCGGGCGCCAUGGAGAGGUAGUGCUUGGCCCGGGCGAUGGCAUCGGCGGGGAAGAUGAGGCCGACGUUGGGAUCAUCGAGCAGGAACGGAGCCUGGCACAGCGCCACCACCUGCAGCAAUCACAUCACACGGGAUAAGUAUUAAACGCCACCAAAUCUCCAAAACCCUAUGUCAGGGAACAAGAAGAGAUUGAGAAGCGAGGAGGAAGGGGAUGGAUAGAUGAUGAACCUGGCGGGGGAAGGUGAGGGGCUUCUGGCCGAGGGCGUGCGGGUUGCCGACGUUGGUGAAGAUGAUCCGCUUGC